Molecule: ribosomal RNA, 253 nt
Filed under: uncultured bacterium
Lineage: Bacteria
Description: partial 16S ribosomal RNA
Rfam family: Bacterial small subunit ribosomal RNA
Source: RNAcentral
UACGUAGGGGGCGAGCGUUGUCCGGAAUUAUUGGGCGUAAAGAGCGUGUAGGCGGUUCGGUAAGUCUGCCGUGAAAACCUGGGGCUCAACCCCGGGCGUGCGGUGGAUACUGCCGGGCUAGAGGGUGGUAGAGGCGAGUGGAAUUCCCGGUGUAGCGGGGAAAUGCGCAGAUAUCGGGAGGAACACCAGUCGCGAAGGCGGCUCGCUGGGCCAUUCCUGACGCUGAGACGCGAAAGCUAGGGGAGCGAACAGG